GUGACUGCCAAUGGGAAGUGUGGAUUUAAGUCUGAUGGGCAGUGGGGUCAGGAUAUCCAGAUCAUUUCCAAAACCUGGUCUGGGGGACUAAAGUGGAGUUCAAGCACCCUGAAAGCCUGAUUUGGGCAAAACUACAAAACAGAGAAAACCCAGAUUUCCUGCCAGCUUGGUUGCCAGUGUUUUAAAUGGAAGUAGGAACUCAAGCUCUGCAUCUCCUUGCUGUUCUAGCACAUGGCUACAAUGAAGGAACAAUUUUAGAACUUCUGAUGAGAUCAGGUGAAAUCCAACCACACCUUUGAUUUAUAAAAACCGGAGACUUCAAGUUUAUUGGAUUUUGAGGAAUAAAACUGGAAGAAUUCCAAACUGGCAGGAUAUGGUACCUUUCCACACAGUUAUACUAAGGGAAUGGCUGUAGUGCAUCAGAGGAAAUGUGCAUCUAACCUUGUGUUCUGUCAGACAAUACAUGAUUGAUAUGACCAAUAUUUGUUAAAUGGAAUAAAAUAUAG
Hirundo rustica (Barn swallow) is the source of this 506-nucleotide long non-coding RNA. RefSeq lists it as uncharacterized. NCBI's taxonomy places the organism in Eukaryota, Metazoa, Chordata, Aves, Passeriformes, Hirundinidae. The transcript is spliced from 5 exons. The record is from RefSeq and is a predicted model, not a curated record.